CAAACUACGGUGAAUACGUUCCCGGGUCUUGUACACACCGCCCGUCAAACCAUGAAAGUGACCAACACCCGAAGUCCGAUUCGUCGGCCUAAGGUGGGGGCAUGAGUUGGGGUU
This 114-nucleotide ribosomal RNA is filed under the name uncultured bacterium. Its description in RNAcentral is "partial 16S ribosomal RNA". It matches the Rfam family "Bacterial small subunit ribosomal RNA", at positions 1353 to 1482 of the family's 1533-position model. The record is from RNAcentral.